Molecule: ribosomal RNA, 254 nt
Filed under: uncultured bacterium
Lineage: Bacteria
Description: partial 16S ribosomal RNA
Rfam family: Bacterial small subunit ribosomal RNA
Source: RNAcentral
UACGGAGGGUGCAAGCGUUAAUCGGAAUUACUGGGCGUAAAGCGCGCGUAGGCGGCUUUGCAAGUCGGGUGUGAAAUCCCCAGGCUCAACCUGGGAACUGCAUUCGAGACUGCAUUGCUAGAGUAUGGGAGAGGGAAGUGGAAUUUCAGGUGUAGCGGUGAAAUGCGUAGAUAUCUGAAGGAACAUCAGUGGCGAAAGCGACUUCCUGGACCAAUACUGACGCUCAUGUGCGAAAAGCGUGGGGAGCAAACAGG